This is a non-coding RNA of Acanthosepion pharaonis, 112 nucleotides long. NCBI's taxonomy places the organism in Eukaryota, Metazoa, Mollusca, Cephalopoda, Sepiida, Sepiidae. The record is from the annotation of a GenBank genome assembly.
AGGCCAUAUCACGUUUAAAAAACCGGUUCUCGUAUGAUCAUUGAAGUUAAGCAACAUUGAGCCUGGUCAAUACUUAGAUGGGUGACUGCUUUGGAAUACCAGGUGCUGUAAG